Non-coding RNA from Ciona intestinalis (vase tunicate), 909 nucleotides. Lineage: Eukaryota; Metazoa; Chordata; Ascidiacea; Phlebobranchia; Cionidae. The record is from RefSeq and is a predicted model, not a curated record.
CCACAAAGGGGAAAAGGGCCGGAAUCUACCCCAAAAAGUCUCGGGGCCAGCAGCUAGGACGAAGUCAAUCGCCACAACUUCCAAAACAAAUCUCCCCAACAAACAACUAAAAAAAGAAACAUUAGUAAAAUGUCAACUAGUGAUAAAGAAUACAGUUCGACACAAAAAAACAGUUUGACAAAAAAAACAGGAAAUACUAACAGAAGAAAAGAUUCGACAGGACUGUUUAAAAGAAGUUGAUGUGGUCGCGGAUGAGGCCUUGCCCUUGCCCAUCGGUACUGCCAACGGAGGCUCUGUCGGCUGAUUAAUAACUUAGUAGGGUGGGGCAAGACUGGUUUCGGGGCAAGACGGGUUUCUUAUUAAAUUUAUUAUUCAAUUUGCAGGUAAACGUAUAAAUAUUUUUUUCUUUAUUGACUGGCCUUAUGACGUAUCUUGUAAACAAAAUGCACUGGCAUGUGUUUUUAAGUGCGUCCUGAAACAGCACCGUUCACAAAGAUGCCGAGGGAAAGAAAGUUGUUUGUCCAAAAUUGGUUGGAAGUACACUGGCACACAACCGCAAAGAAUGAUGUCCGAAAAAAAGAAUGCGUUUAAAGGAGAGGUCCAGUCAAAACUGACCGACGUUGACAUUGAAAAUAUCGAAGACAAGCAGCUUUUGGAAGCUGUGGCACUGUUUGAAAGUCUUAAUGAGCAGUCGUGCAGUUCUUUUAAAAACCUCUUCGUUCGAGUGCACCAAGCCAAGCGUGUGUUUGCCUCGUAGACGGGAGGCGACUCUUCCGGUGUCGAAGUCACACUUUAUGUCAGAAAACAAAGGAGUGAAACGUCGUGUUGAAACCCGCGGCCUUAAAUCAGGUUUGGUGGGCGCCACCGCAGCCUCCUGUGAUAUGUGCACCCAGCCGCCGAAAAUGGAUC